Molecule: long non-coding RNA, 5442 nt
Organism: Sapajus apella (tufted capuchin)
Lineage: Eukaryota; Metazoa; Chordata; Mammalia; Primates; Cebidae
Exons: 3
Source: RefSeq, a predicted model, not a curated record
UGGAAAACAAUGAAUCAUUUUUUAAUGAACAAGCAUAAAUUCCUCUCUUAAAAACAUACAAAAUACGGGAAGUCAUAAAAUGUGUCAAAAGCCUGUUACUUAAUUUUUUUUGGCAUGGUGCUUGUUUGCUUUUAGUUCCUCGUUGACUUUUUCGAGAACAUAGGCCAGUGGGCAUAAAGGCCGGUGCUGUUUUCAUGGCUCUAUUUGUUGACAGAAGGUUGCAUGUGUUGCUUCUGUGCAUCUACAGAUCAUUUUGGGAAAGCACUAAGCCCCGGCCUCACCAGAGGUUCACAGGAGGUUUAGGACAUUGCGUACACUUUGUUACUUUACUUGGCUCAAGGUGUGUGGUUGAGAUUCUGGUUGGCUUGCAAUUAAUUACAGGAACAUGGAGUGGCUACUGUUUAUCUGAGCCUUCCAUUUUCCUUGCCCUCUCCCCCUCCCUUCUCUUUACCUGCUCAAGGGCACUGCCGAUUACUUCCAGCCCUUACUAUUGAUGUUUCAUAUUCUUUAAGGCAAAAUUUUAGAAAUGCAUCUUCUCGUCGUUCAUAUGUCCUGAUAAUUCUGUGUAGCUCUGUUGGUAAGCCCGCCUCUCUCUGAUCCUUUCUCUCACUCUCUCCCUCAGCAUCUCCUGUUCUUUACUAUUGCCAAGUGACUGACUUUGGGUGGCAAGUGCCUAUUCUCAGAAUAAUUUUAAAAAUUUUUUUAUUUUAAAGGAAACCAUAUAAGUAAACACUUUAUACAUGGAGAGGGAGGCAAAAGAUACAGUAAAACGAAUGCCUCAAAGUGAAUAUUGAUUAUAAGACCAGAGUGAUGAGAUAUAAGUUGCCUCACUCACCCUCCUGUAAGACAAGCCCAUUGUUACAAAUCUACAAUGGUGGUGCUUCUAAUAUAUUAUUCUUUCUCCUUCUGCUACAAAAAAAAUAUCAAAUAUAACACUUUCAAGAUCAACCAGCACUUUAUAAAAUGAUGCUAAAUUAAAUAGAGAAGCAAGAACGAUAAUUCAGAUCUCGGGUUUUCAAACUGAAGAACAUUCCGAAUUUUAACUUUUGGUAAAAUCUAUUUAACAUUUAGGGAAGCAAUCCUGUGGUAAGUGUCUGCGAUUCCUUUAGUGCUCUCUCUGCCUACAACAGCAUUUAAAUUAUACACAAGAAUUAAAGUAUGAUUUUUUUUCAUUCUCUAUACAAAUCAAAGAAAGCUAACUUAAAGUAAAAAUGAGUUAUUUGAGUAAAAAUAAUUUUUAAAUGUCAAUGUUAAUUUUGAGAGUCCAAUAAAAUCAAACUUUUUUUCUGUAAGUUUGUUAAAAUUCAUUCAUUCUGAAAGAUAUUUAGGAACGUAGAUUAGGCACCAUCAAAGUGUUUAUACCCUUUCUCAUUAAUCCACGUAGCCUAAAACAACAUUCUAAAUGUUGAAAAAUUGUCUAAAGUUAUUACUAGCAGUGUUACUUAAAACAGGAAAGUAUUAGAAACAACCUAAAUAUCCAAUUUAUUAGCUAGGUAAUUGGUAACCAGUAGGUAAAACCGUUUGAUCAGUCUUUGGAAUCUGUGGAAUAGGAUGCAACCAUUCAAAUAACGAUCAUAAUGAUUAUGUAAACAUCAUAUGCUUAUAAAAUAAUAAAAAAUUCAUAUUUGAGUAUACAAUAAAAUGAAAUACUUAUGAUUUAUAUUAUAAGACAGAUAUAGCAUAAAGAUGAAGAAAACAUAAAAUUCAAAUGUAUUGUGGUGGUGGAGUAGUUUUAAAAAUUGCCUCUGUUUUUUUUUCAAAAUUUUUUAUUAAUCUCCGUGUGUUAAUUGUAUAAUGAGGGAAAAAUUCUCCAAGCUUUCCUAGUAGGUUUUGCUGCUCCAAGACCUGUCACUUUCUUUUUCUUCCCCUCUUCUCCCUUCCCUUCCUCUUUUCUUUUUUCUUUUUCUUUUUUAAGCAUAUACUUUACUUCCAGUAGAACUACGUUUUCAGAAACUAGCGUUGUUUCUGGUAUAAAUUUUAAUCAAUGAUAUCACCUCAAUCCUCAAUAGUUCUCAGUAAGAGAAAUACGGCACGUUUAUUUGACAUUUAAAUAUAACGCCAUCACCUUUCCAUUCAUUGUGAACCUGUACCAUUAAAAAUUUGAAGACAUUAUGGCUUUUAGGGUUAGUGACUGAGAUUGGGGGUGCAGGGUCAGUCUGGAUUGCUAAGGGAAGCCCUUGCUUUCUCUGGCUGUGUGUACAAUGUGGUGGGAUGAAGAACAGAGAUUUAGAGAGCUGGCUGUAGAGAUGUGAAUUCUCUUUGACUCUGGCAAGGCUAUUGGGACUCCCUUAUGUAUUUUGUAAGAAUUUUGGAAGAAGAAUGGUUCCUCGGCUCUUCUGGGGCCUUACCUUGAGACUUGGCAGCCCUCUGGCUGUCACACAGCUGGGUAGGGAGCUGAGCCAGCUUCAGCUGAACAGGAACUAGGAGCUCACAUCAGAUGUGGGCAGGCAUGAGCCCAAGUCCUGGGGAAGGGAUAGGGAGAUAGAUGUGAGGUUGGUGGAAGGUGGGCAUAUUGGAGAGGGUGGGAUGCUAGGAGGGUAUAGAGCAGAGCUGAGAACAAAGGCAAGGCCAGGCUAGAACCAAGAUCCAGGGAUAGAGCUGGCUCAGAGAAAGCGUCUGUGCUCAUGGGACUGAAGAUUGGACACAGACUUGAGCAUAAAGCCUCAUUAAAGAAAACAAAGGCAAGAAACAGGAGCCAGGGGUUGAAGAUGGGCUGAAGUUAAUCGGAAAUCUGGUUUCGUAAACAGGAACAAGGGAAGCGCAGUGCCCAGGAAUUCUGGGGGAUGCUCUUUUCAGCUGUAGCCACCUGUUAUUAUUGCUUACAUUCUCCAGGUACAGAGGAAGCCAUGUCCAGAGUGCCCUAAAGAAAUUCAGUAGCUUCUGUCGUAAUGCCAGAUGGAUUCCUGGAUAAACAUCCUUGUGAAGACGGCACUACUGCUCCAGUAUCUGCUGCCUGGACCAGCGAGUCUCCUGACUGCCGUGAGGCCCUUCUCCCAGGAACUCUGGCUUAUUGAGAUCACAAGUUCUCUGGUGUAGCUGCCCAGAUAACUGCUUGUGACUAGAUUUAACACAGACUACGACGUGCCAUGUCUCAUGGAAAGUUUUCAAGACUUCUGCCCCUCUGUGGAUCUCCCUAAUACUGGGCUGACUUGUCAGUGAGGGAACAAUAAGGGCUCUAACAAUGCGGGAAGCCAAACAGCGGUGUUUCCUCAGCAGCCCAUGGCAUUGGUUUUAGCCAGCUUCUACUGCAGCUGUUUUAUCAGCAAGAUGUUUAUGAUCUGACCCUCAUCUCGUCCUGUGACUUGGAAUGCCUAACCAUCCGGAAAUGCUGCUGCCCGGUAAGUCUCAGCCUGAUUUUACCCAGCUCCUAUUCAAGAUGGAGUUGCUCUGGUUCAAAUGCCUCUGACAUUUCCAUAUAGAUUUGUUUUGAAUCCUGGCUCCAUGAUCUGCUAGCUGAGUGACAGUUUGCCGAUGACAUUACCCCAUUGUACCUCAGUUUCCUUAUCUGAAAAAUAGGAAUAACAGUGCUGGUCUCUUAAAAUUAAGAUUAUUUGAGGAAUACAUAAAGUAACACUUGAAAAAUGCUUGGGACACAAUAGUAACAUAAUAAAUGGUAUUAUCAUUUUGAUGGGGUUGGUUGCCCAAUAAGAAGGAAUGUGGGAACACUCACAGAAUAACUGCUUUUGAAAAGUGUGGUUCUGGUGUUGGAGAUAUCAGAUCAGCUUGAAUCAGAUCUUUUCCUGGGGAGAAUAUUUGGCUCUUUUCAGAAAUAUGAAUGUAUAGUAACAGGCAUGCCUAUUUAUGCAGCAAUAUAAAAAUGCUUAUGGUAACAAAUGCUUAAACAAAAGAAUACGUGACUGAACAUGAAAGAUCAAAUACUUGUGAUCCACGCUACAGGAAAAUAUGGCAUAAAGGUGAAGAAAGCACAUGAAAUAAAGAUGAAUUAUGCAGCAGAAUAAUAUUUUAUUUGGCCAGACAAUGACAGCCCCUCUAUGCUGCUGGCAUAUGAGGUUGCCGGUUGGUGCAUGUAGGGUGGGGACAGUGAAAGCGUAUUUCCACAAGGUGCUAAGAAACUUAUGGGAGUAAAAGUGAUUGAGACCCUAAUUUCUUCUCUUUUGAGGUUUAAUGUUGUUAGAACAUCUCUGAUGGACUGAGGCAGUCCUCGCUGAAGUCAUUGGUCAGGAGAAGAGACCAGAUCUCUCCCAUCCAGGAAGAAACUCACUGUGGGAAAUGAGAAAACUAGGCUGUGCCACAUAUCACAAACAACGGCCUUUGUGGUUACAGCAGAAGUCUGGAUCAGGGUUGCUCACCUCACCCUCUCUAAAACUCUAGAGAGUAGGACCUAGUAUUGUCCUCAUUUUUCCAGCUACAAAACUGAGGUUUAGAGGGGUUAAGAAACUUACCCAAAGUAAGGGCUAGGGGCAGCUGAGAGCUAGAACUCCAGCCCUAUCUGUCUCCAGAAUUCUUGUAUCUCACUUCCAUACGACACACGCUGGCUGAGAUCUUUCUCAGGCCUGUCCUCAACAUUCAGUUGACAAAAGAAAGAGAUGCGAAUUCGGGCUAAGGAUUAGGAUACACACUUCAGUGGGAAAGGGACUGGCAAUUAGAAGAAGAGAAAUUCAAGAGCUUGGGGUUUUUCAGCCUCCUCCAGGAGGGUGAUGGUUGUGUGAUGUAAUCUGCAUUCUUGCCUGACUUCUGGAAAUACAAACAAGCAUUUUCAAGAUGAUUGCCUAAGAUUUAAAAUCAUUCUGUGGCCAUACUUUUUUGUUGUUGUUCAAUGCAAACUUGAUCUUUCCGGGCCUUAAUAAUCUCCUCCGUAAAAUAAGAGGGUUGUGCUAAGUCAUUGUUAGAAUUCUUUUCAUGCUCUAAGGCUUGCGCGUUCAGGAAUGUAUAAGCUUUUUCUGGUAUUUGACCUUUGGCCAUAGCUUCUUUAGUACUAGGAUCAAAACGAAUCUCCCCAACUUAAAUUUUGUGCGACAGGUAAGGAAGCCAGGACAAAGGACUUAAUGAAGGUUCUGAGGCAGGGAGGAUAGCAGCAAAAGGUUUUACAGCUAUGUAUGAAAUGGAGCUGAAAGGGAAGAACUCAGGAUCUCAGAAUCCACUGAGUGUAGCCAAAAAGACUGAAGCUCAGAAACAACUUUCAGAGCGAUUACGUGGAGAAAUAAGUAAGAUCUGGUUGUGCCCUUCACGUAAACAGGCUGGAAUUAGAUUGGUUGGUGUGAGUUAGUGGGAAGGAUUAGCCAUCACAGAGGGACAUUUAAUGGGAUGGCUGUCUGGUUCUCCCAUCUCGCUGUCCCGGCCCACCCUUGGGAACGGGUGUAGCUGCCGUCACCAUCCAAUAACUCUUCUUCCAAUACUUCCAACUAUGCAGAGCUUUCUUGGUCUUAGUUUGGUUGAACCAAAGAACUGUUGCCAAUUAAAUGAGAAAAAAGUUUAAAAAAA